GGGGCUAUAGCUCAGCUGGGAGAGCGCUUGGAUGGCAUUCAAGAGGUCAGCGGUUCGAUCCCGCUUAGCUCCACCA
This 76-nucleotide transfer RNA is filed under the name Coxiellaceae bacterium. Its description in RNAcentral is "tRNA-Ala". It matches the Rfam family "tRNA". From Rfam's summary of the family: Transfer RNA (tRNA) molecules are approximately 80 nucleotides in length. Their secondary structure includes four short double-helical elements and three loops (D, anti-codon, and T loops). Lineage: Bacteria; Pseudomonadati; Pseudomonadota; Gammaproteobacteria; Legionellales; Coxiellaceae. The record is from RNAcentral. RNAcentral also lists the same sequence under 2 other names.